Long non-coding RNA from Cucurbita moschata (crookneck pumpkin), 375 nucleotides. RefSeq lists it as uncharacterized. The record is from RefSeq and is a predicted model, not a curated record. NCBI's taxonomy places the organism in Eukaryota, Viridiplantae, Streptophyta, Magnoliopsida, Cucurbitales, Cucurbitaceae. The transcript is spliced from 4 exons.
ACGAUACAAAAUCUGCGCGCGAAAAAUUGUGGUUUUCGAGAUUGCUCCGAUGAGAAAUGCGAUGAGAUCAGGGUUUGAAAUUAUCGGUGGCUCACGAAUCCGACAUCCAAGCAAUCAGGUGCAUCUGCAGCUUGCAUUAGCUUUUUGCUCGUGGAGAUUAAAUGAAAUUUACGGGUAAAGCCUAUGAGCACUAUGAUUCAGAAAUGGACCAACUCGAAGGAUGAGGAACCAAAACCGCGUGCCAGCCUCAUGCUAAGUUCAAUCUGAGCCGUUUACUUGUUUCCAUCCAGAGUACAAUUGAGAAGAGAUCAGCAAGGAAUGAACGGGUAUAGAGAGAAGAGGUAUGGAUGGAAACAAACCAGUGGCACAGCAUUG